GUGAAAUUUAUAUAAAGAUGUCAGAGUAUCUUUAGAUUAUUAUAAAGAACUAAUAAAUGAAGAGUAAAAACCAGGAUUAGAUACCCUGCUAUUCUUCACAAUAAAAGAACAGGGUAGUAAAAGUUGUUCUUCAAACCCAAAGAUUUUGGCGGCAUUUUAUCCAAAUAGAGGAGCUUGUCCUGUAAUCGAUAAUCCCCGUUAUACCUUACCUUUUCUUGUUGAGCUUGUAUACCUCCGUUGUCAGAUUACUCUAUAAGGAUGUUUUCUGUAAAGAUAAUUUUAUUACUUCAGGUCAAGGUGCAGUUUAUGGAAAGGUAGAGAUGAGCUACAAUUUUUUUUAAAAAUACGAAUGUUUUUGUUAAAAUUAACUGAAGGUGGAUUUAUUAGUAAAUUGAUUUAAGGAAAAUUAAUUGAAUAAGGCAAUAAGAUGUGUACAUAUCGCCCGUCACUCUCCUUUUAAGAGGAGAUAA
This 470-nucleotide ribosomal RNA is filed under the name Daphnia ornithocephala. Its description in RNAcentral is "partial small subunit ribosomal RNA". The record is from RNAcentral. Lineage: Eukaryota; Metazoa; Arthropoda; Branchiopoda; Diplostraca; Daphniidae.